This 71-nucleotide transfer RNA is filed under the name Phaeoacremonium minimum UCRPA7. It matches the Rfam family "tRNA". From Rfam's summary of the family: Transfer RNA (tRNA) molecules are approximately 80 nucleotides in length. Their secondary structure includes four short double-helical elements and three loops (D, anti-codon, and T loops). Further hydrogen bonds mediate the characteristic L-shaped molecular structure. tRNAs have two regions of fundamental functional importance: the anti-codon, which is responsible for specific mRNA codon recognition, and the 3' end, to which the tRNAs corresponding amino acid is attached (by aminoacyl-tRNA synthetases). tRNAs cope with the degeneracy of the genetic code in two manners: having more than one tRNA (with a specific anti-codon) for a particular amino acid; and 'wobble' base-pairing, i.e. permitting non-standard base-pairing at the 3rd anti-codon position. Lineage: Eukaryota; Fungi; Ascomycota; Sordariomycetes; Togniniales; Togniniaceae. The record is from Rfam by way of RNAcentral.
GCCUGUAUAGUUUAAAGGUAAAACCUUAACUUCAUACGUUAAAGAUGGGAAUUCGAUUUUCUCUUCAGGCU